Molecule: long non-coding RNA, 708 nt
Filed under: Serinus canaria (Common canary)
Lineage: Eukaryota; Metazoa; Chordata; Aves; Passeriformes; Fringillidae
Description: lncRNA (ENSSCAG00000005091.1)
Source: RNAcentral
AUUUAUUAGAAAUACACUAAGAGGGCCUUUAAAAAGAGAAUUGUAUGUAUUGGAUGGUAAACAAAUCUCCAGCAAAAUGAGGUAAGACUAAAACUUCCCUUGGAGACAGUUUGGCCAAUAGAUUCUGACAGGGUUUUUUGUAAUUUUUUUUUCCCUUUGUUAUUUGUAGAGAUCCUACAUUGAAAUUAUGCUCUGUCCUACAGGGACCCCUGGCUUGAGCAAGUGCAUGACAAUUCUUAGGAUGCCUGUGCUGAAAUGGUCCUUCUCUUAAUGGACCUUGAUGGAGUUUGGUUUCAUUUGUUCCAGAAUGGGAUUGCCCUUCUUGCAGUUGCUGCAGGUUCAUGAUCUGGACCCAACCCCAGGACUCGAGCAGGACUGAAGGACACAUGCAAGUGGUAAGAAGCUGGAUCAUCUUUCUUCAUCUGCUCACUGUCUUCACAGAAUUUGCAAGUGUGAAAAAGUAUUUCAUCCCUUUACAGGAUUAGGAUGAGGAUUUCCCUCUCCCUGAGGUGCUGCUGGCUGGUUCACUGCCUGCUGGAGGGUGUUUCCAAGACCUGACUUAACCUGAAGCAUGCACUUCCUCAGGAGGUCUGCAGCAGGGCUGGAGGACUGCCAACACUGCAUCCCUUCCCUCGUGUCACCUGCUGCCACAUGACUGCAGUGCUUGUGCUGUGCUCUCAGCUCCCUCACACUGAAAUGUUCCUCCUG